Long non-coding RNA from Manis pentadactyla (Chinese pangolin), 3600 nucleotides. RefSeq lists it as uncharacterized. NCBI's taxonomy places the organism in Eukaryota, Metazoa, Chordata, Mammalia, Pholidota, Manidae. The transcript is spliced from 5 exons. The record is from RefSeq and is a predicted model, not a curated record.
UUCAGCAUACUUAAAUUAAAAAAAUUUUUUUUAAUUCAGAGAUUUUUAAGAUUCUCUGAUGGAUACCAGACAUGCAUUAUAAAAUGGAGGUUUUGCUUGAGCCAGUUACACACAGCCUCUGAAAAGCCACGCAGCUGGAGGGAAGUAGAAAUCUUGAACAUCCUACACAGCCUCCUUGUUUUCUGAACAAGAGAGUUCUUGGAGUAACCAAGCUCCUGGCACCUGCAAACGUAACCCCAUGGAGAGCCAGGUCAUCAGCCCAAGAGAGCUGUAACCAUACCCUGUAUUCCCAUUUAAAAAGCCCAUGAUCUUGGCACAAGACUGAUUUAUGUUUUAAAGUACAUUUGCAUAUUGAUAUUGAAAGGCCCACACACAGCUCAGUAAGUAAGUCAGAUACCUUCGAGCUGCUGACUCUGGCAGGGCCCCAGCCCAGCAGCACGGUCACUCUCGGAGUGCAGAGUUGAGCUUAUAAAUCCAUGAAGAUAACCGUGUCCUUGAUUGGGGAGAAAUGUGCUGUUGAAGGUAGUUGUCUGCCUCUUAGCUCGGACUGUAUGGAGAGGCCAGAAGCAGUUUCAGAAAGAAGGCCGAGGGGCAGUCCCUUGAGUAUUGGGGCAUUCACACUUUUUCUGCAGGAGUCAAGGAGAAAAGCAUGAAUCCUGAAGAGGCAGCUUUGCAUCAAAGAUUGGAAGGCUUGCAUUGUGAGAACUGGUAUGAUCUGCUUUGUAGUCUGUCCAGUAUUCGUUGGCUCUGCUCUUUCCUAAUAAUAGCAAUUACCAUAUGCAUUUUAUUGCUUGUAUUUUAAGUGUUUCUUCUGAAGGGACUUGUGGCUGCUUGUAUGUACAUUCAGUUCAGUAGGAUACAAUAAAUAGCUAAGAACAGUGGGUCAAAAGGGAAAUAAAUUUAGGGAGUAAGAUGAAGCCAGAAGUAAAGUUAGCACAUGAAGUGUACAUCAUACAGUCUUUGCAAUUACUCGAAGUGAGUCACCUGAGCUUCCUAGCAGCCAAUGUAAAAAGGGAACAGGAGUCGUCAUCAGAUUUACAGUAUCCAUAGAAUGAGAACAUUCAGUUAGACAACCAAUAGAUCCUUCUGGUCAUUGUCCAUAAAACCUGGAGUUCAGGGCUUUAGUCUUUAAGCAGCAAAUACCUCAUAGUAGAGGCAGUGCCAAAAGCUUUGACAAUCAGGAAAACAUAAUACAAGGUUAUGUUAUUUUUUAUUUGAAAGAAAUUGCUUAAGCCAAAACUUAUGCCAUGUGGAGACCCACUUUGGUAGAGCCCAGAUUUUCUUCAGGGAAUUCUUUUGGAUAAUCAAAUGGCCAGUGUUCUAGGUUCUAGGGCAGUGGGUCUUAACUCUGGUCAUGCAUCAGAAGGACCUGGGAGCUUUGGACAACAUUGAAACCCAGUUCCCAGGGCAUUAUAAUGUGUAGCCAGAGAUGAGGACCACCGCCAAGAGCAUGGGUGGAUUUUUUUCUGGCAAGAAAAACUCAGAGUAUCUGCUACCAAUUGCUGACCAUAGCCGUGGCUGGCAAGAGGUCUCCUUACUGUUACCUGAUUGUUUGUGAUGGAAUUCCUGCUGAGCACUGGGGAGACACGCACCUGGAGAGAGCCAGCAAGCUAGGCUGCAUCAGAUCAUUGGACUUAGCCAAAAGUCCGAGGACACCUGCCCACAGGUACCACUUCUGACAGCCCUGGGGGAGGCCCAAGGUGUCAUCAGUGCUUGAAGGAGAGGAAGAUGAAGAGGACUCAUGACUCAGACCAGCUUUUUGUGGGUCCAGAGGGAACCGGAAGUGAAGGUGCAGCAGGGCAAACUGCCCAAAAGAGAAGCACCCAGGAGAGAACCUGCCGUGGGUACUUAAGCCCAGGAGGCGCAGCCAGACUUCUGUCAGUUUGAAGCAGCACAGGCAAGGAGAUAUUUGUGGAAACUUCCAAGAAGACAAGUGGAAUGGAAUGAGAUGUUUUCUCUCAUGGAUGGGAGAUAAAUCAUAGUGCUUUCUUUCGGUGAUGAUGCAGAGUUUGUAGAGUUUCAGGAAAGAAACAAGACAGGAAAUGUUUUCUGUUGGAAUUUUUGAAAGGUGUUCAUUCUGCUCUGGGGUCUUUGGAAAAACAGGUUAGUGGCUGACCAAAGGGAAGGGAGGAAAAGGGCUGGAGUCUGUGGCUGAACUCCACGUAGGGGUGAAGGCAAACACAAACCCCUGGCUGAAAGUAUCACACACAACUCUGAAAAUAAAAUGUUAUUGGCUCAAGUCUGAAGCUGUCACUUUCCACUGAAAUGGAAUAUAUUGCUCAGAAAAGAGAAGCACCAAAUAUUAUGCAGUUUGCCUUUGGGGAAAGAAAAAAAAUAACACCCACUUAUAAGAACACUUUUUGGAGAUGAAGGAUUUGAUUUCAACUGAUGAGUCAUUACUGUGUUUUUAACCACUAAGCCAAAAAAAGAUGUUUUUUAAGAAGCAUUUCUUGAAGCAAAUUCUUCCAUUGCUUGGGUUUCUCUCAUCUAAGAGAGAAGGUGUCCUAAGCACUUAUAUCCAGAAGCUUCCCAGUUUGCAUGGAGAUAUUGUGGGACAAGAUUCCUAGCUACCAAGUUCCAGAUUCAUCAUGAAAAAGCAACCUCAAGAUAACAUUUAUGAUCUAGAAGCAAGAAGUUAACAAGAAAAUUAAUUUUAAACAAAUUUCAAUGCAUAAAGAUUAUGUUUGAAAAUGACACAGUGAAUGUCAGAAAGGCAAAGGAAUUUAAGACAGCUUGGUGAACACUGUAGUGGAGGCCACCAUAUAUCUUGGGUUAGUGUGGACAACAGUCCUAGUUUAUGCAUAGAAAGCACCCUCUUUCACUCUCAAAAAUGUCUUGCUUUUGACAGUGAUUUAUGGUCACCUCAGAUGUAGUUUUAAAACAUGUCUGCAGAUUGCUUCAACACUCUUACCAUCAAGAAGUCUAUGUCCCUUCCCCUUGAAAGUGGGUGGACUUUUGUGACCACCAGGGUAAGCUGUGUGUGACUGCAGAGGUGUGACCUGACUUCCAAGCCCAGGUGAGAAAAGACCAAGCAACUUCUGGUUUGUCUUGGGGAAUUUGCUCUGGGAGCCAUCAGCCACCCUGUAAGAAGCCUAGCCUCCCAGGAGCCGCUACCCUGGAGGGACACACGGAGAGAGCAGGGAAUGAAAGCAGAAGACACCCACGAGCCCAGCUGUGCCAGCCCCAGCCAUUCGCAUCUUCCCAGUCCAGGCAUCCAGCACAUGAGUGAGCGAGGCUUCAGGGUGACUCCAGCUCUGGCCCUCAUCUGACCACACCCGCUUGAGAGAUGCCGAGGAGGGGCUGCCCUGCUAAGCCCAGGCAACCCUCAGGAGCUGAGAGAAAAUCAUCAGCGAUACUGUUCUUUUCUGCCAGUAUGCUUGAGACGGUUUGUUAUGCAGCAGUUGAUAACCCAGGUGCUGAGUGUGGGCUGGCCAAGCCCCCCGAGAGCCCUGCCAAGGACACCUCCAUUGCUGCCAGCAUUCACUGUGCUGCACAGGCACUGGCUCCUGCCAGCUGCCGCAGAGCCAGGCUCCCUGGGAGCCAAGGCCCACUGUCUCGAAUGUUCUCUCCCCACAUCUUCCAGGUCCCAGCUUAAAAACU